Long non-coding RNA from Cydia splendana, 1206 nucleotides. RefSeq lists it as uncharacterized. The record is from RefSeq and is a predicted model, not a curated record. Lineage: Eukaryota; Metazoa; Arthropoda; Insecta; Lepidoptera; Tortricidae. The transcript is spliced from 2 exons.
UGAAAAAACGAUUUAUUCCAUAAUAAAAUAAAUACCACAAGUCCCAGAAAAUGCCUUAAAAUAAAGAAGUGUCAAUAAACAGUGAGCAUACUUCGAGCAUAAUUCAUGUCAAUACAUAAAAACGGAAUGACUACAUAACAACACGGUAUAUAAGUUACCGCACAUGCGCGUUUAUCGCCGCGCUACUUCUUUGCCAACGGCCUGAUAUAAUUAGUGGCAUUUUCAACCAAAAGGGUCCUUAUCGGUUGUCAAAAAGGCGCUAUUUCCACAUAGCUUCAAUAUAAUUUGAAAUCAACCUUAUCGACAACCGACAAUGUGGUACCUCUUGGUUGAAAAAGUCAAAUAGUAGACCAAUAAUUAAACAUUCAAACUUUAUCCAUUGGUUAUUACAGGUUUUAUGCGUCGUAUGGCAGAAAUUAUACUCUGUAUCUUUUGGUAUUUAAAUAAAAGUAAACAAAAUCUACCCUCAAAUGGCUCCUUAAGCCAGUUGAGGGUAGAUGAAAACAUUACAUGAUCAAAUAAUGUAGGUUAAAGUCUGGUCGUUCAGUGACUGAUCCAGGCGGUUUUGUAUUUGGUUGGUACAAAUUGUUUGUUUACUUUUAUUUAAAUACCUAAAGAUACAGACGUAAGUAUUCUGGUAUUAUUUGAGUAGAAAUCGUUAUAUGCAUUUUUUGUACAAGGCGUCAUACUGUCAACAAUCUAAAUCUACUUUUAAAUAUACAUAUUUAUACACAAGAAUACAUUGAGCCAUACAAUUAUACAAUGCCGGAUUACGAUUAUAUGUCACUCUACCCAAAAUAUAUAAUAAUAACCCCUCGCCUGUGUAUGACUACAUUGACUACAGUUUCCUUAGAGGACAUAACCAAACGGAGUAGCCAUACCAUUAACCGGCGCUCCGCUCUGUCGAUGAUAGGCGGCCAAUGGUCAUACACAAUGUUCGACUGAGUAUGGUAAACAGUGUCAUAACAGGUCAUGGACUUUUCAACAAACAUCUUUUUAUAACCAAGUGUCACAGACAGUCCCCUAUGCCGUGGAUGCAUGGAGAAGGAAGAAACAGCCUCUCACGUGGUGUUGGAAUGCAGCGGAUUGGCCCCAUACAGGGCAAAACAUCUCGGAUCUCCGAGAGACCUCCCCGAGGUCCUACUCAACAUCAAAGAUUUGAUAGGAUUCCUCGAGGAGCUGGGCUGGCAGGACUAGCCCACCCCC